GAUGAACGCUGGCGGCGUGCUUAACACAUGCAAGUCGAACGGUAACGCCCUGCUUGCUUGGUGUUUUGGGGGGCGACGGGUGGGUGACACAUGAGUACCUCGCCCUCUACUCUUUGGUAAGCCUUGGCGAAUGGGUCUAUACCCUAAUAGGGCAUUCCACCUCAUGGUGGGAGUUGGGGAUAUUUAGCGCUUUUGGAUGGGCACGCGGCGUAACCGCUUUUUGGUGUGGGAGUGGCUCACCCCCACGAAGACGGGUAGCCGGCCUGAGAGGGUGACCGGCGACACGGGGACUGAGAGACGGCCCAGACGCCUACGUGAGGCAGCAGUGGGGAAUAUUGCACAAUGGGCGCAAGCCUGAUGCAGAGACGCCGCGUGAGGGAUGACGGCCUGCGGGGUGAAAACCGCUUUCGGUAGGGACGAAGCGAUAGUGACGGUACCUGAAAAAGAAGCACCGGCUAACUACGUG
RNAcentral lists this ribosomal RNA (466 nucleotides) under uncultured bacterium. RNAcentral's name for it is "partial 16S ribosomal RNA". It matches the Rfam family "Bacterial small subunit ribosomal RNA", at positions 28 to 507 of the family's 1533-position model. The record is from RNAcentral.